This 465-nucleotide ribosomal RNA is filed under the name uncultured bacterium. RNAcentral describes it as "partial 16S ribosomal RNA". It matches the Rfam family "Bacterial small subunit ribosomal RNA", at positions 28 to 507 of the family's 1533-position model. The record is from RNAcentral.
GACGAACGCUGGCGGCGUGCUUAACACAUGCAAGUCGAACGGAAAGGCCCUGCUUGCAGGGUACUCGAGUGGCGAACGGGUGAGUAACACGUGGGUGAUCUGCCCUGCACUUCGGGAUAAGCCUGGGAAACUGGGUCUAAUACCGGAUAGGAGCCAUUUUUAGUGUGAUGGUUGGAAAGUUUUUUCGGUGUAGGAUGAGCUCGCGGCCUAUCAGCUUGUUGGUGGGGUAAUGGCCUACCAAGGCGGCGACGGGUAGCCGGCCUGAGAGGGUGGACGGCCACAUUGGGACUGAGAUACGGCCCAGACUCCUACGGGAGGCAGCGGUGGGGAAUAUUGCACAAUGGGCGCAAGCCUGAUGCAGCGACGCCGCGUGGAGGAUGACGGCCUUCGGGUUGUAAACUCCUUUCGCUAGGGACGAAGCUUUUUGUGACGGUACCUAGAUAAGAAGCACCGGCUAACUACGUG